Molecule: transfer RNA, 86 nt
Filed under: Candidatus Glomeribacter gigasporarum BEG34
Lineage: Bacteria; Pseudomonadati; Pseudomonadota; Betaproteobacteria; Burkholderiales; Burkholderiaceae
Rfam family: tRNA
About the family: Transfer RNA (tRNA) molecules are approximately 80 nucleotides in length. Their secondary structure includes four short double-helical elements and three loops (D, anti-codon, and T loops).
Source: Rfam by way of RNAcentral
GGAGGCGUGGCCGAGCGGUUUAAGGCACUGGUCUUGAAAACCAGCGAAGGGAAACCCUUCCGUGAGUUCGAAUCUCACCGCCUCCG